GACGAACGCUGGCGGCGUGCCUAAUACAUGCAAGUAGAACGCUGAAGAGAGGAGCUUGCUCUUCUUAGAUGAGUUGCGAACGGGUGAGUAACGCGUAGGUAACCUGCCUUGUAGCGGGGGAUAGCUAUUGGAAACGAUAGCUAAUACCGCAUAACAAUGGAUGACACAUGUCAUUUAUUUGAAAGGGGCAAUUGCUCCACUACAAGAUGGACCUGCGUUGUAUUAGCUAGUAGGUGAGGUAAUGGCUCACCUAGGCGACGAUACAUAGCCGACCUGAGAGGGUGAUCGGCCACACUGGGACUGAGACACGGCCCAGACUCCUACGGGAGGCAGCAGUAGGGAAUCUUCGGCAAUGGGGGCAACCCUGACCGAGCAACGCCGCGUGAGUGAAGAAGGUUGUCGGAUCGUAAAGCUCUGUUGUAAGUCAAGAACGGGUGUGAGAGUGGAAAGUUCACACUGUGACGGUAGCUUACCAGAAAGGGACGGCUAACUACGUG
RNAcentral lists this ribosomal RNA (497 nucleotides) under uncultured bacterium. Its description in RNAcentral is "partial 16S ribosomal RNA". It matches the Rfam family "Bacterial small subunit ribosomal RNA", at positions 28 to 507 of the family's 1533-position model. The record is from RNAcentral.